RNAcentral lists this long non-coding RNA (876 nucleotides) under Lynx pardinus (Iberian lynx). Lineage: Eukaryota; Metazoa; Chordata; Mammalia; Carnivora; Felidae. The record is from RNAcentral.
CCACAUCUACUCACCACUCCAUCUCCUCCCACUGCUGCCCCCUGUUUAGAGCUGUCUCUCUGCUCUCUUCCUCCCCCAUACUAGCCUAUGGCCCCCUCUCUGCUGGAGGAGCCAACCUCUCAAUCAAAGUGAAUACUACUCUGGAAAUCUUGGGUGGUCUGACCUGAUAUUUUAGUUUAGUGGCCACAGAUAUUUUAGGCCCCCAAGAGGUAGUCUUACUCUUUCAAUUUUACUGGCCUCACUGUUUAAGGAACUUGGAACAGUUCCCCCAGGGACUGGUCUAGAGGUACCGUUGAAUAAUACCACAGUGUUUUUCUUCCUCCCCACAAAGGACCAGCUGGUGCCUCAAGACCAGGCAUAAACCUUUUGGGGCUCUGCCAACUUAGAGUGAGAACUCUGCUUUCCUUCAGGAUUCCUGCCCUUCCAGGUCAGGCAAAACCUCUUCUUCCUUUGUCCUUUAGGACUUUGAGUCUUGGUGCUGCCUCUGAUUCCCUUUAUUUUUAUUCCCUAGGAGAAUUUAACACUCUGGGCCUUGGUAUUAUAUGAGCUAUAAGACCACAUGUGGAUUUUCAGAAUAAGUCUCAUUUCCCUAUCCUUCCCUCCACAAAGAGAGAGAGAAAGAGAGAAGAUAGUAAAAUCGCAUCAUUGGUCACUCAUCUAUCCACAGUAUGUUGAGGCAACUGACAUAAGCCCUUAGUACAGCUAUUGUGAGAUGCUGACAGUCUCCCUGAGGAAGUGUUUAUAACUACCUUUAUUUAGGCGGGGAGGAAACAUGUCAUCUAUAAGAUAAUUUUAUGAUACAUUUGAAACAAAUACACUCAGGGAAGGAUUUUUUAAAAAUGAUAUCAAAUGACCAUGAACUGGUGAAUGGAUAAA